This 255-nucleotide ribosomal RNA is filed under the name uncultured bacterium. Its description in RNAcentral is "partial 16S ribosomal RNA". It matches the Rfam family "Bacterial small subunit ribosomal RNA", at positions 793 to 1055 of the family's 1533-position model. The record is from RNAcentral.
GUCCACGCCGUAAACGAUGGAUACUAGCUGUUGGGGCGAACCUCAGUGGCUAAGCGAAAGUGAUAAGUAUCCCACCUGGGGAGGUACGUUCGCAAGAAUGAAACUCAAAGGAAUUGACGGGGCCCGCACAAGCGGUGGAGCAUGUGGUUUAAUUCGAUGAUACGCGAGGAACCUUACCAAGGCUUAAAUGUAGUUUGACCGAUUUGGAAACAGAUCUUUCGCAAGACAAAUUACAAGGUGCUGCAUGGUUGUCGU